GCCUGGGUGGCUCAGUCGGUUAAGCGUCUGACUUCAGCUCAGGUCACGAUCUCGCGGUCCGUGGGUUCGAGCCCCGUGUCAGGCU
This 85-nucleotide transfer RNA is filed under the name Felis catus (domestic cat). It matches the Rfam family "tRNA". Rfam says of the family: Transfer RNA (tRNA) molecules are approximately 80 nucleotides in length. Their secondary structure includes four short double-helical elements and three loops (D, anti-codon, and T loops). The record is from Rfam by way of RNAcentral. Lineage: Eukaryota; Metazoa; Chordata; Mammalia; Carnivora; Felidae.